ACCCGCUGAACUUAAGCAUAUCAAUAAGCGGAGGAAAAGAAACCAACAGGGAUUGCCCUAGUAACGGCGAGUGAAGCGGCAACAGCUCAAAUUUGAAAUCUGGCGCAAGCCCGAGUUGUAAUUUGUAGAGGAUGCUUCUGGGCAGCGGCCGGUCUAAGUUCCUUGGAACAGGACGUCACAGAGGGUGAGAAUCCCGUAUGUGAUCGGUUGGCACCCGCUACGUAGCUCCUUCGACGAGUCGAGUUGUUUGGGAAUGCAGCUCUAAAUGGGAGGUAAAUGCCUUCUAAAGCUAAAUACCGGCCAGAGACCGAUAGCGCACAAGUAGAGUGAUCGAAAGAUGAAAAGCACUUUGGAAAGAGAGUUAAAAAGCACGUGAAAUUGUUGAAAGGGAAGCGCAUGCAACCAGACUUGUCCGCGGUGUUCCGCCGGUCUUCUGACCGGUCUACUCGCCGCGGGCAGGCCAGCAUCAUCUGGGAGCGCCGGAUAAAGGUAGCGGGAAUGUGGCCCCUCGGGGUGUUAUAGCUCGCUACACAAUACGGCGCCUCCCGGGUGAGGUCCGCGCUUCGGCUAGGAUGCUGGCGUAAUGGUUGUAUGCGGCCCGUCUUGAAACACGGACCAAGGAGUCUACCAUCUAUGCGAGUGUUCGGGUGUCAAACCCCUACGCGCAAUGAAAGUGAACGGAGGUGGGAACCGCAAGGUGCACCAUCGACCGAUCCUGAUGUCUUCGGAUGGAUUUGAGUAAGAGCAUAGCUGGUGGGACCCGAAAGAUGGUGAACUAUGCCUGAAUAGGGUGAAGCCAGAGGAAACUCUGGUGGAGGCUCGCAGCGGUUCUGACGUGCAAAUCGAUCGUCAAAUUUGGGUAUAGGGGCGAAAGACCAAUCGAACCAUCUAGUAGCUGGUUCCUGCCGAAGUUUCCCUCAGG
This 922-nucleotide ribosomal RNA is filed under the name Neocatenulostroma microsporum. RNAcentral describes it as "LSU rRNA". It matches the Rfam family "Eukaryotic large subunit ribosomal RNA", at positions 23 to 977 of the family's 3401-position model. The record is from RNAcentral. Lineage: Eukaryota; Fungi; Ascomycota; Dothideomycetes; Mycosphaerellales; Teratosphaeriaceae.